RNAcentral lists this transfer RNA (72 nucleotides) under Trichonephila inaurata madagascariensis. It matches the Rfam family "tRNA". From Rfam's summary of the family: Transfer RNA (tRNA) molecules are approximately 80 nucleotides in length. Their secondary structure includes four short double-helical elements and three loops (D, anti-codon, and T loops). Lineage: Eukaryota; Metazoa; Arthropoda; Arachnida; Araneae; Nephilidae. The record is from Rfam by way of RNAcentral.
AUCCCUGUAGCGCAACGGAUAGCGCCUUGGACUUCUAAUCCAAAGGUCAUGGUUUGAAUCCCACCUGGGAUG